RNAcentral lists this ribosomal RNA (253 nucleotides) under uncultured bacterium. RNAcentral's name for it is "partial 16S ribosomal RNA". It matches the Rfam family "Bacterial small subunit ribosomal RNA", at positions 524 to 776 of the family's 1533-position model. The record is from RNAcentral.
UACGUAGGGGGCAAGCGUUGUCCGGAUUUAUUGGGCGUAAAGAGCGUGUAGGCGGCCAGGUAGGUCAGCUGUGAAAACUCGAGGCUCAACCUCGAGACGUCGGUUGAAACCAUCUGGCUAGAGUCCGGAAGAGGAGAGUGGAAUUCCUGGUGUAGCGGUGAAAUGCGCAGAUAUCAGGAAGAACACCCGUGGCGAAGGCGGCUCUCUGGGACGGUACUGACGCUGAGACGCGAAAGCGUGGGGAGCGAACAGG